GAGGAAGGAGAAGUCGUAACAAGGUUUCCGUAGGUGAACCUGCGGAAGGAUCAUUGUCGAAACCUGCCCAGCAGAACGACCCGCGAACACGUAUCAAUGCCGCGGGGGCGAGGGGAGGCAUGCCCCCUCUCUCCCCCCAAAGUCGGGACGCGCUCGGUGCUCGAUCCGCCGACCGUGCCACGUGCGCGGGAAGCACCGGCACCGGCGUGCGCCCGGCAUCACAACGAACCCCGGCGCAAAUCGCGUCAAGGAAACGAAACGCAAGAGCCCGCUCCCAUCCCCCGGUCUCGGGUCGUGGUGGGGGCGAUGGCAUCUUCGAUAUUAUACUAAACGACUCUCGGCAACGGAUAUCUCGGCUCUCGCAUCGAUGAAGAACGUAGCGAAAUGCGAUACUUGGUGUGAAUUGCAGAAUCCCGUGAACCAUCGAGUCUUUGAACGCAAGUUGCGCCCAAAGCCAUUAGGCCGAGGGCACGUCUGCCUGGGCGUCACGUAUCGCGUCGCCACCCCAAACCCCCGCCCACGCAUGCCGUGAUGCGGGGCGUCCUGUGGGGGCGGAUAUUGGCCUCCCGUGCACUUCGCCGCGGUUGGCCUAAAAGCGAGCCCCGGGCGACAGAACGUCACGAUAAGUGGUGGUUGAUAAGCCCCGGCCCUUCAAGUGUCAUGUCGUGCGUUGCCCUGUCGCCCGCUGGAGCUACGAGACCCCGAUGCGUCGUCCCGACGAUGCUUCCAUCGCGACCCCAGGUCAGGCGGGACUACCCGCUGAGUUUAAGCAUAUCA
This 777-nucleotide unclassified non-coding RNA is filed under the name Parrotia subaequalis. Its description in RNAcentral is "partial contains small subunit ribosomal RNA, internal transcribed spacer 1, 5.8S ribosomal RNA, internal transcribed spacer 2, and large subunit ribosomal RNA". The stretch from base 333 to 488 matches the Rfam family "5.8S ribosomal RNA". The record is from RNAcentral. Lineage: Eukaryota; Viridiplantae; Streptophyta; Magnoliopsida; Saxifragales; Hamamelidaceae.